AUUGAACGCUGGCGGCAUGCCUUACACAUGCAAGUCGAACGGUAACAGGUUAAGCUGACGAGUGGCGAACGGGUGAGCAAUGUAUCGGAACGUGCCCAGUCGUGGGGGAUAACUGCUCGAAAGAGCAGCUAAUACCGCAUACGACCUGAGGGUGAAAGCGGGGGAUCGCAAGACCUCGCGCGAAUGGAGCGGCCGAUAUCAGAUUAGGUAGUUGGUGAGGUAAAGGCUCACCAAGCCGACGAUCUGUAGCUGGUCUGAGAGGACGACCAGCCACACUGGGACUGAGGCACGGCCCAGACUCCUACGGGAGGCAGCAGUGGGGAAUUUUGGACAAUGGGCGCAAGCCUGAUCCAGCCAUGCCGCGUGCGGGAAGAAGGCCUUCGGGUUGUAAACCGCUUUUGUCAGGGAAGAAAAGGUUCUGGCUAAUACCUGGGACUCAUGACGGUACCUGAAGAAUAAGCACCGGCUAACUACGUGCCAGCAGCCGCAGUAA
RNAcentral lists this ribosomal RNA (493 nucleotides) under uncultured bacterium. Its description in RNAcentral is "partial 16S ribosomal RNA". It matches the Rfam family "Bacterial small subunit ribosomal RNA", at positions 29 to 523 of the family's 1533-position model. The record is from RNAcentral.